RNAcentral lists this ribosomal RNA (931 nucleotides) under uncultured bacterium. Its description in RNAcentral is "bacterial SSU rRNA". It matches the Rfam family "Bacterial small subunit ribosomal RNA", at positions 8 to 916 of the family's 1533-position model. The record is from RNAcentral.
AGAGUUUGAUCCUGGCUCAGAACGAACGCUGGCGGCGUGCCUAACACAUGCAAGUCGAGCGAGAAAGUCCGCAAGGAUGAGUAAAGCGGCGCACGGGUGAGUAACACGUGGGUAAUCUUCCUUGGAGCCCGGAAUAACUCCCCGAAAGGGGUGCUAAUACCGGAUGAGACCACGGGAUCUUCGGAUCCUGAGGGAAAAGGCGGCCUCUGUACACAAGCUGUCACUUCAAGAUGAGCCCGCGGCCCAUCAGCUAGUUGGCGGGGUAAUGGCCCACCAAGGCUACGACGGGUAGCUGGUCUGAGAGGACGAUCAGCCACACUGGAACUGAGACACGGUCCAGACUCCUACGGGAGGCAGCAGUGGGGAAUCUUGCGCAAUGGGCGAAAGCCUGACGCAGCAACGCCGCGUGUGUGAUGAAGGUCUUCGGAUCGUAAAGCACUGUCGGGAGGGACGAAUAAGGUGACGGCUAACACCCGUCGCUGAUGACGGUACCUCCAAAGGAAGCACCGGCUAACUCUGUGCCAGCAGCCGCGGUAAUACAGAGGGUGCUAGCGUUGUUCGGAAUUAUUGGGCGUAAAGCGCGUGUAGGCGGCCAGGCAAGUUGGGUGUGAAAGCCCUCGGCUUAACCGAGGAAGUGCGCCCAAAACUACUUGGCUUGAGUACCGGAGAGGGUGGCGGAAUUCCCGGUGUAGAGGUGAAAUUCGUAGAUAUCGGGAGGAACACCAGUGGCGAAGGCGGCCACCUGGACGGAUACUGACGCUGAGACGCGAAAGCGUGGGGAGCAAACAGGAUUAGAUACCCUGGUAGUCCACGCUGUAAACGAUGAGCGCUAGGUGUUGUGGGUGUUGACCCCCGCAGUGCCGCAGCUAACGCAUUAAGCGCUCCGCCUGGGAAGUACGGCCGCAAGGCUAAAACUUAAAGGAAUUGAUGG